Molecule: ribosomal RNA, 500 nt
Filed under: uncultured bacterium
Lineage: Bacteria
Description: partial 16S ribosomal RNA
Rfam family: Bacterial small subunit ribosomal RNA
Source: RNAcentral
AAUCAACGCUGGCGGCGUGCCUAACACAUGCAAGUCGAACGCGAAAGCCCCGCAAGGGGUAAGUAGAGUGGCAAACGGGUGAGUAACACGUGGGUGACCUGCCUUCGAGUGGGGGAUAACGUCCCGAAAGGGACGCUAAUACCGCAUGACAUCCUGCUUUUGAACAAGCGGAGAUCAAAGCUGGGGAUCGCAAGACCUAGCGCUUGAAGAGGGGCCCGCGCCUGCUUAGCUAGUUGGUGGGGUAACGGCUCACCAACGCGACGAUCAGGAUCCGGACGGAGAGGGCGGGCGGGCACACUGGGACUGGGACACGGCCCAGACUCAUACGGGAGGGAGCAGUGGGGAAUUGUUCGCAAGGGGAGCAAGCCAGACGACGAAACGCCGAGGGGAGGAGGAAGAACUUCGGGUCGUAAACUCCGGUCGAGCGGGACGAACGCUUCGCGGAUGAAUAAGCCGCGGAAUUGACGGUACCGCUAAAGGAAGCACCGGCUAACUCCGUG